Molecule: non-coding RNA, 168 nt
Organism: Pelobates cultripes (western spadefoot toad)
Lineage: Eukaryota; Metazoa; Chordata; Amphibia; Anura; Pelobatidae
Source: the annotation of a GenBank genome assembly
GCAGACACAUUCCAGCCAAUCAGCAGCAGACCCUCCCUCCCAGACCCUCCCACCUCCUGGACAGCAUCCAUUUUACAUUCAUUGUGAAGCUGCAUUCUUAGUGAGCUGUCCAGGAAGUGGGAGGGUCUGGGAGGGAGGGUCUGCUGCUGAUUGGCUGGAAUGUGUCUG